CCUACGGGAGGCAGCAGUGGGGAAUUUUGGACAAUGGGCGCAAGCCUGAUCCAGCAAUGCCGCGUGCAGGAUGAAGGCCUUCGGGUUGUAAACUGCUUUUGUACGGAACGAAACGGUUCUUUCUAAUAAAGAGAGCUAAUGACGGUACCGUAAGAAUAAGCACCGGCUAACUACGUGCCAGCAGCCGCGGUAAUACGUAGGGUGCGAGCGUUAAUCGGAAUUACUGGGCGUAAAGCGUGCGCAGGCGGUUAUAUAAGACAGAUGUGAAAUCCCCGGGCUCAACCUGGGACCUGCAUUUGUGACUGUAUAGCUAGAGUACGGUAGAGGGGGAUGGAAUUCCGCGUGUAGCAGUGAAAUGCGUAGAUAUGCGGAGGAACACCGAUGGCGAAGGCAAUCCCCUGGACCUGUACUGACGCUCAUGCACGAAAGCGUGGGGAGCAAACAGGAUUAGAUACCCUGGUAGUCCACGCCCUAAACGAUGUCAACUGGUUGUUGGGUCUUCACUGACUCAGUAACGAAGCUAACGCGUGAAGUUGACCGCCUGGGGAGUACGGCCGCAAGGUUGAAACUCAAAUGAAAUUGACGG
This 586-nucleotide ribosomal RNA is filed under the name uncultured bacterium. RNAcentral describes it as "bacterial SSU rRNA". It matches the Rfam family "Bacterial small subunit ribosomal RNA", at positions 338 to 916 of the family's 1533-position model. The record is from RNAcentral.